Bos taurus (domestic cattle) is the source of this 72-nucleotide non-coding RNA. The record is from Rfam. NCBI's taxonomy places the organism in Eukaryota, Metazoa, Chordata, Mammalia, Artiodactyla, Bovidae.
UCCCUGAUGGUCCAGUGGUUAGGACUCCAUGUUUUCACUACCAGGGCCCGGGUUCAACCUCUGGUCAGGGAA